Molecule: long non-coding RNA, 1141 nt
Organism: Ipomoea nil (Japanese morning glory)
Lineage: Eukaryota; Viridiplantae; Streptophyta; Magnoliopsida; Solanales; Convolvulaceae
Exons: 4
Source: RefSeq, a predicted model, not a curated record
AAUUUCUGACAUAAAUUUCUUCUGGUGAGAUAUCUGUGCGCUUGCUAUUAUAUUUUCAGUGAACAGAGAAGAGUUAUGUUGACUUCUAUUUCUAUCUUCAGGAAAUCUUAGUUGUUUAUUUUUUGUUCCAGUGCAAGGUGUUUAUGUGAAGAAUUUCUUUCAUAUAAAGGAGUUUUGAAAUUGAUCUUGUAUAUGGACAUUAUAGUGGAUGAACUGAAGAUAUGAAUCACCAGCAGGAAGAUGAUGUGAUAUCGUCUGGCUCUUCAUCACCAGAUUCAAUAUCAUCACACUUUGGUGGAAUGAGUUAUCCCUCAUUGUUCAGUUCCAAGCCAACUACCUAUGGCCCAAAAUUGUUAAAGAUGUCCUGAUGUUAAAGAUGAAAAUGGCCCAAAAUCAAAGCUGAUUGUGAUUUUGUAGUUUUUGAGGAUAAAUCAAAGAAGGGAACAUGUAUUCUUAAAGAUGGCCUGAGUGAUAAUUUUCAGACAAUAAUGAUCGUCACCAUAUCUCUAGCAAAUAGUUAGUAUCACCAUACUGUUAACACUUUGAAGUAUGCUCACCGAACAAAGGAAAUUAAGAUACAUUCAGGUUCAGAUCCUUCAGAAUGAAAAGGAAAAAGUUUUGGAGGAAUCGGUGAGAAGCCUUUGAUGAGAAGUUAGCAUCUGCUCUCGAUGAGUGCAACGCUAAAGAUGAAUUAGUCACAAAGUUCCCAAACAUCGCGGAAGAAGCCAUUGCAGCUCACAAGAAAGCGGAGGCUGAAAUUAUGUGUUUGAAGGAAGAGUUAGAAGAAUGGAAGGCUACCUUAACAGUGCAUUGAAGGAUUGUAUGCAGAAAUGAAGGAAGAGCUGGCUGUUUAUGAACCUAAUAUCAAAUGAUAUCUCCUCCAUAUCAAGCCAUGAAACGAAGAAGGAGCAUCAAAGUGUUUCUACUGAAGCUUGGGCUUGUGCUUAGAUAUUUGAACUAGAGCAUUUCAAGAAUCAUAAGGACCAGAAGAGUAACUCUGAACAGAAAACGAUUGGAGUUUUAGAGAUGAGGCUAAUGGAUGAUUUUGUCAAAAUGGAAAAACUAGCAAUAGUAGCAAAUAUCUUAAAACAGAUGAUGAAUGAAUUCUCUUCAAGCAUAUGAAAUGUGUAUUUUAUGUUUU